Molecule: ribosomal RNA, 497 nt
Filed under: uncultured bacterium
Lineage: Bacteria
Description: partial 16S ribosomal RNA
Rfam family: Bacterial small subunit ribosomal RNA
Source: RNAcentral
GAUGAACGCUGGCGGCGUGCCUAAUACAUGCAAGUCGAGCGAACGGACGAGGAGCUUGCUUCUCUGAUGUUAGCGGCGGACGGGUGAGUAACACGUGGGUAACCUACCUAUAAGACUGGGAUAACUUCGGGAAACCGGAGCUAAUACCGGAUAAUAUUUUGAACCGCAUGGUUCAAAAGUAAAAGAGGGUCUUGCUGUCACUUAUAGAUGGAUCCGCGCUGCAUUAGCUAGUUGGUAAGGUAACGGCUUACCAAGGCAACGAUGCGUAGCCGACCUGAGAGGGUGAUCGGCCACACUGGAACUGAGACACGGUCCAGACUCCUACGGGAGGCAGCAGUAGGGAAUCUUCCGCAAUGGGCGAAAGCCUGACGGAGCAACGCCGCGUGAGUGAUGAAGGUCUUCGGAUCGUAAAACUCUGUUAUUAGGGAAGAACAUAUGUGUAAGUAACUGUGCACAUCUUGACGGUACCUAAUCAGAAAGCCACGGCUAACUACGUG